GGAAGGCAACCGCAGCCGGUGCUGCGGCCGGGCUUCAAACCCGGUUGGGGGCGGCAGCCGCUCCCGGGUAGGUUCGACUCCUACUGCCUUCCGCCA
This 96-nucleotide transfer RNA is filed under the name Serpens gallinarum. Its description in RNAcentral is "Pseudomonadaceae bacterium Sa2CUA2 tRNA-Sec". It matches the Rfam family "Selenocysteine transfer RNA". The record is from RNAcentral. Lineage: Bacteria; Pseudomonadati; Pseudomonadota; Gammaproteobacteria; Pseudomonadales; Pseudomonadaceae.